Molecule: long non-coding RNA, 5621 nt
Filed under: Nicotiana tabacum (common tobacco)
Lineage: Eukaryota; Viridiplantae; Streptophyta; Magnoliopsida; Solanales; Solanaceae
Description: long non-coding RNA (NTAB_LNC010497)
Source: RNAcentral
AGCCGCCUCUGUAUUCUCUCCACUCUCACACCAAACCCUAGUCGCCCAUGGAGACUCUCUCUUAUUCCUUCCUUAUACGAAUUCAUAUGCGGAUUCUACUUACCUUUUCUGCUAUUAUCACUUAGUUAUGGUGACUUUCGUUACCAUUAUACUUAUGGCAAGUUCGAUUCUCACAAAUCUGGCUUUGAUUCUAUGGUUCUGGGUGCGAUUGUGGUUCUAUACACUUAAGAAGAGAACAUUUCUCUUUUAUUUGGUGUGUCUUUGGUGAUUCUGCCAUGAUUGGGGCUGGUGAACGAUUUGCCCUAAGUCCGACUCCAACUAGGGUUCAGAGUUCUUACUUCCUCUAUUUAUUUUAAGUAUGCAUAUAAUAUUUUCUUUCUUUUUUGUGUUGAUUGAUUAUAUUUUCUUGUUUGUUCGUCCAAAUAUUUUUAUGGCGAUUAAUGAAAUUUUAUUAAUUACUGAGUAGCUGUACAAAACGAAGGCAAAACAAACUAGUUCAUGCCCCUCUCAAAAACUAUAUCCUAUGCAACUAGAAGCCUUAAAACAUCCAGACACCUAUAGUGGACGUCAAAACACCUAUAAUGAACAAAUAAACUCAAAUAAUUUCCUGUUGCCUCUAACUCUUAUACACAGAUAAGUCUUCAGGUCAUGUAGUAUUGCCUCCCUACUUUUGGCUUUGUGUUGAUACACCCGAUUAUUCUUCUCAAUCCAUAUUUCAUAUAUAACAGUAGCAAAGCAUGCCUUUAGUGGAACACCUGGUGCAGUUCUUCUUUUAGCUAUCUCAGAAACCCAUUGCCAUUCCAAUUCCCAAUUGGUUCUUUGUCACUUCAUCCUACUUAGCACAUCCUGCCAGAUUGAUCUUGAGUAAGGACCUUCAAAAAAGAUAUGCGAAGAGGUUUCUGGGCAGGAGUUACAUAACAUACAUACACUAUCCAUACUAAUGCCCCAACUCAGUAGGACAUCUUUGGUUCUUAUUUUACCGAGCAAUUCUAGCCAUAUAAUGAAUACUUGUUUAGGAGCAGUAGCAUUGUGACAAGUCAAGUUCUUCCAAGGAGCAUUUACUAUUGUACCUCUUAAAGUUUUAUAAGCAGCUGUAAUCUGAAACUUUCCCCUCUUGGUUAGCUGAGAACAAAUAUUUAGUUUCUGCCAAUUCUUUCUCAUAUUCAUUGUUUUCCUAAUCAUCCAUGAAGCCUGACUUGGCACCGCCUUUAUAUAGUAUGUAUGUAUCCAUGCGAUCCAUAAUUUCUCCUUGUUCAUCCAAUCUUACUAUAUAUAACCCCUUCCCAGUUCCCUUUCUAGGACCUAACAACUACUGCUACGACUACUAUUACCACUAUUGUUCUCUUAUUCUCACUCAUUCUAUACAAUUCUGAGACUUUAGAUUUUGGCCGGUUGAAAGCCAAGGCCACCGAAAUCCGUUCGUUAGCCUCCUCUAGUGCAAGCAUUGCUGGAGCCCACUUUGACUCUUGUGAACUUUGAAGCACUAGAGAUUUGGGGUUUCAUUGUUCUCAUGCAACCGCCACUAUUUCUGAGAUUUUGAGUUUCUCAUUCUUUGUUCGCCUUGUUUGCAACUGGUUAGUACUUCAUACCCUUGCAAUUCUACUUCCUUUUGUUUGUGUUUGUGAUACGUGCACUAGUGCUACUUGGAUUUCUUUGAGUUAAUGUAAUUACGAUAUUAUGCCACUUCGUAUACAAGCCUGUUUGUCUUAAUACUAUUCUGCAAUAGCUUCAACUCUGUUCAAGUCCUGAUUUUAACUCAUGCAUAGUUAGCUAAAUUGAUUCAUGGUGUUUACUUGGUUCGUAAUUAAACCUGAUUGAUAUUUGUCGCACCUUGUUUUGAUUUCUUGUACUAAAACCCUUAGGAAACUAUAUUCUUGCUCAGAAUUGCUCUCUUCAUGUUGAAUCGUUUAUGCAUAACUUGUUGUUUCUCUACAAAUCAUGUAAUAAUACUGUCUAAAUGCUUAGCCUAAUGUGCUCUCCUCCCACUACUAGCCUUAAUGCAUGCCCAUUAUAUGAACUGAAAACCUAGGUUCCAGCUGUCCGGCAAGGUUGUGAUGGUAUAUUUCCAGUUGUUGCAUUUUGAAGUGCAGCUUCUGUGGUUUGAGUUACAUGCGAUAAUAAGGUGGUCCCAAAAAGAUCUACGCGCAGCUGGUCUGUUACAAAAAGUGGUGGGUGGUCAAAAACAGCAAUCUUUGUGGAGUAUUCCAGUUUCUGCCUUUCUUAGCUAGUUUAUCUGCUAUAAAAUUUUGCUCUAUGAACGCAUGAUUAAUUGGAGGGUCAUGCAGCCUAUGGAGGAGGUGCCUGCAAUCAGAGAUAACAUUAGCAUACAUGGGAUUUUCUUUUUUUAACGGUGUAAUUACCUCAGCAGCGUCAACAUUUAUCUCAAUUGGUAUUACGUUCCAUUGGCCAACUAACUUGAGCCCUUGUAAUAAAGCCUACAGUUCUGCAUGUAUACUAGAAGUUUUGGUAAUGCCGCCAUUAUAGCCGAUAAUACAUGCUCCUGUAUGAUUACGAAUGACCCCCCCUCCAAUUCCAUAUUUCCUUGUGUGGACUAAAGCUGCACCAUCCGAAUUGAGCUUAUAGUGAUUGUAAGGGGGAGGCUCCCAUUUUGUAUUUCGCUUAGUAUGUUUGCUAUGAUAAUUACUAGCGAGAUAUGUAUAUUCGAUUGUCUGAUGGAGUGUAACGACCCGGCCGGUCGUUUUGAGUAUUAUAACUCUGUUCCCCCAUUUACUGCUCAAGUUAUGCAUUACAGUUGUUUUAUGACUCACCGGGUUAGUUGGUUCGGGUCUGGAAGGAUUUCGGAGUGAAUUGAGACACUUCGUCUCAUAAUUAAAAACCUAAGUUGUAAAAGUUGACCGGAUAUUGACUUAUGUGUAAACAACCUCGGAUUCGAAUUCUGAUGAUUCCAAUAGCUCCGUGUGAUGAUUUUGGACUUAGGAGCAUGUCCGAAAAAGUUUUUUGGAGGUCCAUAGUAGAAUUAGGCUUGAAAUGGCGAAAGUCGAAUUUUUGGGAAGUUUGACCGGGGGGUUGAAUUUUUGAUAUCGGGGUCAGAAUCCGAUUCUGAAAAAUUAUAAUAGGCAUGUUAUGUCAUUUAUGACUUGUGUACUAAAUUUGAGGUCCAUCGGACUUGAUUUGAUAGGUUCCGGCGUCGUUUGUUGAAAUUUGAAAUUUCAAAGUUCAUUAAGCUUGAAUUAGGAUAUGAUUCGUGGUUUUAGCAUUGUUUGAUGUGAUUUGAAGACUCGGCUAAGUUCGUAUGAUGUUUCAGGACUUAUUGGUAUAUUUGGUUGGCGUCCCGGGGGGCCCGGAUGAGUUCCGGGAUGGUUUCAGAUCAUUUUUUCUUGUUUUGCAACUGCUGGAACUGGUGUCUGGUAUUGUUCUUCGCGAACGCGAAGUGUCUCACCCGUUCACGAAGAAGGAUUUUAGGUUGCUGGGAUUUGCUCGUCGCGAAAGCGAUGAAGGAGACGCGAACGCGAAAAAGAGGCUGGGGACGCCUACGCAAACGCGAGUGGGCGGACGCGAACGCGAAGAGGAAAGGGAGCUGAGGGCCUUCCUCGCGUUAAGCCUUCGCGAACGCGGCUCGUGUCUCGCGAACACGAAGGGCAGAGGUAGGAAGGCAUCGCGAACGCGAUGAGGAGGUCGCGAACGUGAAGAAGGAAUCUUGGCAGCAAAUUUUUUGUGAUUCACGAACGCGAAACUAUGGUCGCGAACGCGAUGAAGGCAUUUCUGGGUAGAAUUAAAAGUUCCAAAACGGGGGUUUUGAGUUCAUAAUACAAAAUCGAAUUGGGAGCUCGGUAGAAGGCGAUUUUUGGAGAGAUUCUUGCGUGGGUGUUUAGGGUAAGUGAUUUUUUUCCAAUUUUUUUAAUUUUCAUGAUUAUGCCUUUGAAUCCAUCAUUUAAUGGAUGAAUUAAGUUGAACAAUUUAGAAAACCCUCUUGGUUUAAUUUGAAGAUUUGAGGGUCGAGUUGAGGUCGAAUUUUGAUAAAAUUGGUAUGGUUAGACUCGUGGUUGAAUGAGCUUUCGGAUUUUGUAACUUUUUUCGGGUUCCGAGACGUGGGGCCCACGGGCAUUUUUGAGCUAAAUUUCAGAUUUUGCUGGAAAAUUAGUAUUUUCUUAUGGAAUUAAUUUCAAUAAAUUUUAUUGACUAAAUCGAAUUAUUUGUGGCUAGAUUUGAGGCGUUUGGAGGCCAAUUCAUGAGGCAAAGGCAUAGCAGAGUAGAGAAUUACACUGUUUGAGGUAAGUAACAGUUCUAAAUUUGGUCCUGAGGGUAUGAAACCCCGGAUUAUGUGUUAUGUGAUUGGUUUUGAGGUGACGCACAUGCUAGGUGACGGGCGUGUGGGCGUGCACCCUUGUUUCUCCUUCCCUAUCCUUUUGUUUAUUGUAUUUGGUUUCAGAUUAUUAUUAUAGACCGGAUUUUUCCAGACAUGUAAUGUAUAGAUGCUCAUGUACUCAGUGAGAUCGGGUUUUGGGGAGUGUGUUUAUUUCUAAUGUUUGUGGGAUUUACUCUUAAACUUAAUUAUUAUGUUUUCAGUAUUUAAAAGAAAUUGUAGGUUAUUGGUGUUGUCGGCUUGCCUAGUUUUGAGAUAGGUGCCAUCACGACAUGUUAGGAUUUCGGGUGAUGACAUGGAGUAUGUGGUCUCUGGGAAUAGGAAUGUGUUUCUUAUCAAAAACAUUCGUGUUUCUUGUUUUCCAAAUAUUCCAUAGACAUAUUGGAAGAAGUGUUUGAGGAUUAAGCUUGUAAGGCAUUUGUCUAAUUUUACCAGUUAGAAGGGGUUGUAGCCAUUGUUUUGUCGUGGCUAAGGGAUGUAUGUAGUUUAUAAACUGUGUAAGACCUAAUCUUUCCCAAUUAGUAGUUGUAUUAGGACAAUGUAAAAAUAUGUGUGUUAGAGUUUACUGAGGCGUGUGGCAAAAAGAGCAAGCAAUAUCAUUUGAUAAUUCCAUUGUGCUGUAACUAACUUUCAGUGGGUAAUCUUCCAUGUCUUAAUAACCAUAUGAAGGACCUGACUUUUGGUGGUACCGGUAAUUUCCAGAUCCAUUUGAAGUUGCAUGGUGAACUGGGAUAGAGUUUAUGGAGUAGAGCACGAUACAUAGAACGGACUGUAAAAUGCCCAUUACUUGUGAGGCCCCAGAAUGUACAAUAUAAACAUGAAUAUUGUGGAUAAGGUCUAGGAAGGAUUGAUUAAUGAUAAAAGGAAAGGUAUUCCAAUCAGUAUUAAGGUUCCUGUAAGAUUGAAUGUUGGCAUUAUGGUGCUGGGCUGGGAGAGGCCAUGUAACAAGAGAUCGCAACGUGGUGUUUAUGCCGAUCCAAGGGUCGUCCCAAAAUUUUAUGUGUUGACCAGUGCCCACUCUCCAUUGAAGUCCUUGUUGACAGAAGGUCCAUCCCUUUAGAAUUAUUUUCAUCUUCCACUCACACAUGAUGGGUCAACUCUCAUUCCUAUUUUGUAACUUUUAUGCAUAACGACUAGAUUGUGUGACCAGUGCAUACUUCGAGAGUUUAUUGCUAUAUAUCUGCUAGGAAUAUAUAGCAUCUCCAUCAAUGAAACUUAAAGAAAAUUACAGUGUAGUUUUCUUGAUCCUUUUACCAAAUUCAUAUCCUCGCAAUCUUUUUAUCUAAAUUUUGAGUUC